Myotis brandtii (Brandt's bat) is the source of this 75-nucleotide non-coding RNA. The record is from Rfam. NCBI's taxonomy places the organism in Eukaryota, Metazoa, Chordata, Mammalia, Chiroptera, Vespertilionidae.
GGUGGUUCUCAGUUGAUGCACCCCAGAAUCAGGCUCCCUCCCCUCUGGUUCUGGGUGUGUCACCCGAGAACUGCA